This 478-nucleotide ribosomal RNA is filed under the name uncultured bacterium. RNAcentral describes it as "partial 16S ribosomal RNA". It matches the Rfam family "Bacterial small subunit ribosomal RNA", at positions 28 to 523 of the family's 1533-position model. The record is from RNAcentral.
GACGAACGCUGGCGGCGUGCUUAACACAUGCAAGUCGAACGGUAAGGCCCUUCGGGGUACACGAGUGGCGAACGGGUGAGUAACACGUGGGUGAUCUGCCCUGCACUUCGGGAUAAGCCUGGGAAACUGGGUCUAAUACCGGACAGGACCACUGCCUGCAUGGGUGGUGGUGGAAAGCUUUCGCGGUGUGGGAUGGGCCCGCGGCCAACCAGCUUGUUGGUGGGGUGAUGGUCUACCAAGGCGACGACGGGUAGCCGGCCUGAGGGGGUGACCGGCCACACUGGGACUGAGAUACGGCCCAGACUCCUACGGGAGGCAGCAGUGGGGAGUAUUGCACAAUGGGCGCAAGCCUGAUGCAGCGACGCCGCGUGAGGGAUGACGGCCUUCGGGUUGUAAACCUCUUUCAGCACCGACGAAGCGCAAGUGACGGUAGGUGCAGAAGAAGGACCGGCCAACUACGUGCCAGCCGCCGCCGUAA